GAUGAACGCUAGCGGCAGGCCUAACACAUGCAAGUCGAGGUGCAGCACAGAAACAGCAAUGUUUUGGUGGCGACCGGCGGACGGGUGCGUAACGCGUCUGCAACCUACCUUUAACAGGGGGAUAACGGAGAGAAAUUUCCACUAAUACCCCAUAACAUCGAUCAAGGCAUCUUGAUUGGUUGAAAACUCCGGUAGUUAAAGAUGGGCAUGCGUUGUAUUAGGUAGUUGGUGAGGUAAUGGCUCACCAAGCCUACGAUACAUAGGGGGACUGAGAGGUUAGCCCCACACACUGGUACUGAGACACGGACCAGACUCCUACGGGAGGCAGAAGUGAGGAAUAUUGGUCAAUGGGGGCAACCCUGAACCAGCCAUGCCGCGUGCAGGAAGACGGCUCUAUGAGUUGUAAACUGCUUUUAAACAGGGAUAAAGCACAGUAUGUAUACUGUGUUGAAGGUACUGUAAGAAUAAGGAUCGGCUAACUCCGUGCCAGCCGCCGCCGUAA
RNAcentral lists this ribosomal RNA (502 nucleotides) under uncultured bacterium. Its description in RNAcentral is "partial 16S ribosomal RNA". It matches the Rfam family "Bacterial small subunit ribosomal RNA", at positions 28 to 523 of the family's 1533-position model. The record is from RNAcentral.